UCGGGAAUUUUGGGCAAUGGGCGAAAGCCUGACCCAGCAACGCCGCGUGAAGGAUGAAGUAUUUCGGUAUGUAAACUUCGUAAGAAUAGGAAGAAUAAAUGACGGUACUAUUUGUAAGGUCCGGCUAACUACGUGCCAGCAGCCGCGGUAAUACGUAGGGACCAAGCGUUGUUCGGAUUUACUGGGCGUAAAGGGCGCGUAGGCGGUGUGUCAAGUCAGUUGUGAAAUCUCCGAGCUUAACUCGGAACGGUCAACUGAUACUGUCACACUAGAGUACAGAAGGGGCAAUCGGAAUUCUUGGUGUAGUGGUGAAAUGCGUAGAUAUCAAGAGGAACACCUGAGGCGAAGGCGGGUUGCUGGGCUGAUACUGACGCUGAGGCGCGAAAGCUAGGGUAGCAAACGGGAUUAGAUACCCAAGUAGUCCCUGAGCGGGCUGGCAAGGCGCAU
Molecule: ribosomal RNA, 447 nt
Filed under: uncultured bacterium
Lineage: Bacteria
Description: bacterial SSU rRNA
Rfam family: Bacterial small subunit ribosomal RNA
Source: RNAcentral